UCCAAUCAUACCCAUGACACCACAAUAACACUACAUAUUGCACACAAUCAUUCUCACCAUAGUAAACCAAUCAUAGGCUUCAAAUUAUAGCAUGAAGCUUACCACUUGGUUUUAGCUUGGAUUUCACCCAACAAAAUUCAUAAUUCCCUCACACCCAUGGCCACCAUAGCUGCCACAAAAUGAUUCACUCAUUAUUUUUCCAAGGAUUUAACCAACCAUGAACUUAAAACUCAAAAAUCCUUACCCUAGCUUGCUUGAAUUACAAAACCAAGCUUUUUCUUCCUUUCUCUCUUUUUCUUUCUUCUUCUCCUAGGGUUUAGAUGUGCUGAAAAUUGGGGUUAAAAGCUCCAGGUUUAGUGCCCAAGAAGUUUGGAGAAGAAAGAAGUAAGAA
This 391-nucleotide long non-coding RNA is filed under the name Theobroma cacao (cacao). RNAcentral describes it as "long non-coding RNA (TCAC_LNC000349)". Lineage: Eukaryota; Viridiplantae; Streptophyta; Magnoliopsida; Malvales; Malvaceae. The record is from RNAcentral.